Molecule: ribosomal RNA, 497 nt
Filed under: uncultured bacterium
Lineage: Bacteria
Description: partial 16S ribosomal RNA
Rfam family: Bacterial small subunit ribosomal RNA
Source: RNAcentral
GAUGAACGCUGGCGGCGUGCCUAAUACAUGCAAGUCGAGCGAACAGACGAGGAGCUUGCUCCUCUGACGUUAGCGGCGGACGGGUGAGUAACACGUGGAUAACCUACCUAUAAGACUGGGAUAACUUCGGGAAACCGGAGCUAAUACCGGAUAAUAUAUUGAACCGCAUGGUUCAAUAGUGAAAGACGGUUUUGCUGUCACUUAUAGAUGGAUCCGCGCCGCAUUAGCUAGUUGGUAAGGUAACGGCUUACCAAGGCAACGAUGCGUAGCCGACCUGAGAGGGUGAUCGGCCACACUGGAACUGAAACACGGUCCAGACUCCUGCGGGAGGCAGCAGUAGGGAAUCUUCCGCAAUGGGCGAAAGCCUGACGGAGCAACGCCGCGUGAGUGAUGAAGGUCUUCGGAUCGUAAAACUCUGUUAUUAGGGAAGAACAAAUGUGUAAGUAACUAUGCACGUCUUGACGGUACCUAAUCAGAAAGCCACGGCUAACUACGUG